This 1101-nucleotide small RNA is filed under the name Arabidopsis thaliana (thale cress). Its description in RNAcentral is "ATSL198270". The record is from RNAcentral. Lineage: Eukaryota; Viridiplantae; Streptophyta; Magnoliopsida; Brassicales; Brassicaceae.
GUUGGUAGGUUGCUCUUGCUCAUCUACAACGUCAGCCAUUGUGUCGGUUUCUGUCUGUUCUAUCAGUUGGCGAGCAAUACGGUCGAUGUUAUUGUUGAAUAGGAGGUUCUGAUUUCCUUGUGACCGUGUAUGCAUGCAACAUAUAGCAGCCGUGCUAUAACAGAUGAAUCAAAGAUGCGUCUGUAAAGCGGGUUGCAAGGUACCUGAAACACAAAGACAGAAAAGGCACAAUGUUAGUAACUUGUGUAACAAAACCGAACUUGAUCUUAACGUUUCUAAUGAUCUCAAAUAUAACAAACAAACACGAAACUGGCAACGGCGCCAAAUUGAUAGUAGGAUUUUUCUCAAUUAAUCCUAAAACACUAUCUUGUCGUUGUAGUAUUUUAGGAUGUCAAUCCAAUCCGGUGUGAUGCAAACAGAUGAGAUAUGAUUAGAAAGCUCUAAGUCAAGCCAAGCAGAGAGUCGGUUGGUUCUAACAGUCCUAGUAUGCAAUAACAGAAAUGAAAUGAAACUAAAAGCAGAAAUGGCAAUAGUAGGCAGGUAAAUAACAAAGCAGAAAUGAUAACAGGCAAUCAAAUGGAUAAACGAUUCUUAAGGAUGGGGUAAUCGAAUAGUAUGGUCUCCUUAAUCUAUUCAAGUGGUUGACAAAACUUCAUAGAAGCUAUCCCUAGACAACAAGUUCAACAACAGAUUAAUUCACUCCCGUGAUAGAAAUCCUCAAGCAUAACUAGACACUGAACUAAUUCUCAUUAGCGAUCUCUAACUAAGAAGGCAUUAUCGAAUCAACAUGUUAAAGCCAAUACCCUCUCUACAGUCAAUCCGUUGGGGUAGAGUCAGAUACCUCUGGAAUUAAUUGGAUCCAACGCCUAUUAAACGCCUUCUGAGCGCUGGACGUCUGGACUCAUAUUCCACAUUAGUCAGUGAAACAAGCAAUAAGCGCAACUAAUCCAGAAGGGAUUCUAGUAUUCUAAACUCAACCACCUAAAACGACCAAGUAAACUACAACUAAUCUAUCUCAUCCUCAGAAAUACAGUUCACUACUCAGACAUAAUCAAAAACAAUAGCAAAACAACGAUUGAAAACAUGAUAACAGAAAUAAUG